Molecule: ribosomal RNA, 1372 nt
Filed under: uncultured bacterium
Lineage: Bacteria
Description: bacterial SSU rRNA
Rfam family: Bacterial small subunit ribosomal RNA
Source: RNAcentral
GAUGAACGCUGGCGGCGUGCCUAAUACAUGCAAGUCGAGCGAACGGACGAGAAGCUUGCUUCUCUGAUGUUAGCGGCGGACGGGUGAGUAACACGUGGAUAACCUACCUAUAAGACUGGGAUAACUUCGGGAAACCGUAGCUAAUACCGGAUAAUAUUUUGAACCGCAUGGUUCAAAAGUGAAAGACGGUCUUGCUGUCACUUAUAGGUGGAUCCGCGCUGCAUUAGCUAGUUGGUAAGGUAACGGCUUACCAAGGCAACGAUGCAUAGCCGACCUGAGAGGGUGAUCGGCCACACUGGAACUGAGACACGGUCCAGACUCCUACGGGAGGCAGCAGUAGGGAAUCUUCCGCAAUGGGCGAAAGCCUGACGGAGCAACGCCGCGUGAGUGAUGAAGGUCUUCGGAUCGUAAAACUCUGUUAUUAGGGAAGAACAUAUGUGUAAGUAACUGUGCACAUCUUGACGGUACCUAAUCAGAAAGCCACGGCUAACUACGUGCCAGCAGCCGCGGUAAUACGUAGGUGGCAAGCGUUAUCCGGAAUUAUUGGGCGUAAAGCGCGCGUAGGCGGUUUUUUAAGUCUGAUGUGAAAGCCCACGGCUCAACCGUGGAGGGUCAUUGGAAACUGGAAAACUUGAGUGCAGAAGAGGAAAGUGGAAUUCCAUGUGUAGCGGUGAAAUGCGCAGAGAUAUGGAGGAACACCAGUGGCGAAGGCGACUUUCUGGUCUGUAACUGACGCUGAUGUGCGAAAGCGUGGGGAUCAAACAGGAUUAGAUACCCUGGUAGUCCACGCCGUAAACGAUGAGUGCUAAGUGUUAGGGGGUUUCCGCCCCUUAGUGCUGCAGCUAACGCAUUAAGCACUCCGCCUGGGGAGUACGACCGCAAGGUUGAAACUCAAAGGAAUUGACGGGGACCCGCACAAGCGGUGGAGCAUGUGGUUUAAUUCGAAGCAACGCGAAGAACCUUACCAAAUCUUGACAUCCUUUGACAACUCUAGAGAUAGAGCCUUCCCCUUCGGGGGACAAAGUGACAGGUGGUGCAUGGUUGUCGUCAGCUCGUGUCGUGAGAUGUUGGGUUAAGUCCCGCAACGAGCGCAACCCUUAAGCUUAGUUGCCAUCAUUAAGUUGGGCACUCUAAGUUGACUGCCGGUGACAAACCGGAGGAAGGUGGGGAUGACGUCAAAUCAUCAUGCCCCUUAUGAUUUGGGCUACACACGUGCUACAAUGGACAAUACAAAGGGCAGCGAAACCGCGAGGUCAAGCAAAUCCCAUAAAGUUGUUCUCAGUUCGGAUUGUAGUCUGCAACUCGACUACAUGAAGCUGGAAUCGUUAGUAAUCGUAGAUCAGCAUGCUACGGUGAAUACGUUCCCGGGUCU